This 296-nucleotide unclassified non-coding RNA is filed under the name uncultured Heterobasidion. RNAcentral's name for it is "sequence contains ITS2". The stretch from base 1 to 52 matches the Rfam family "5.8S ribosomal RNA", at positions 103 to 154 of the family's 154-position model. Lineage: Eukaryota; Fungi; Basidiomycota; Agaricomycetes; Russulales; Bondarzewiaceae. The record is from RNAcentral.
AACGCACCUUGCGCCCUUUGGUAUUCCGAAGGGCACGCCUGUUUGAGUGUCGUGAAAUUCUCAACCCUGCGCUUUUCUUGUGAAAGCGCGUGGGCUUGGACUUGGAGGCUUUGCUGGUCCUCGCGGAUCGGCUCCUCUCAAAUGCAUUAGCGAGACCCUUGUGGUGCCGCCCCCGGUGUGAUAAUUGUCUACGCCGUGGGUACACCGCGAUUGUGGGGGACCUGCUUCCAACCGUCGAAAGACAAACUUCAUCGAAACUUGACCUCAAAUCAGGCGGGACUACCCGCUGAACUUAA